This is a non-coding RNA of Schistosoma mansoni, 45 nucleotides long. Lineage: Eukaryota; Metazoa; Platyhelminthes; Trematoda; Strigeidida; Schistosomatidae. The record is from Rfam.
AUCCAGCUGACGAGUCCAAAAUACAUAGAAACGCGCGUCCUGGAU